ACGUAGGGUGCGAGCGUUAAUCGGAAUUACUGGGCGUAAAGCGUGCGCAGGCGGUUUGUUAAGUCAGAUGUGAAAGCCCCGGGCUUAACCUGGGAACUGCGUUUGAGACUGGCAAGCUAGAGUCUGUCAGAGGGGGGUAGAAUUCCACGUGUAGCAGUGAAAUGCGUAGAGAUGUGGAGGAAUACCGAUGGCGAAGGCAGCCCCCUGGGAUAAGACUGACGCUCAUGCACGAAAGCGUGGGGAGCAAACAGGAUUAGAUACCCUGGUAGUCCACGCCCUAAACGAUGUCGACUGGUUGUUGGGCAACUUGAUUGUUCAGUAACGAAGCUAACGCGAGAAGUCGACCGCCUGGGGAGUACGGUCGCAAGAUUA
Molecule: ribosomal RNA, 372 nt
Filed under: uncultured bacterium
Lineage: Bacteria
Description: bacterial SSU rRNA
Rfam family: Bacterial small subunit ribosomal RNA
Source: RNAcentral